AUGGGUAAUGUUGGGGUGAACCGAAUUUUUUUGGGUAGAGCUGGAUCUAAGUGUUGGCUAGGUAAACACCCCGUAGUAGGAGGGGUAGUUAUGAACCCUGUUGACAACCCCAUGGGGGCGGUGAAGGGAAAGCUUCCAUUGGUAGAAAAAAAACCACAACCCCUUGGGGUUUUCACCGAGUGA
This 183-nucleotide ribosomal RNA is filed under the name Triticum aestivum (bread wheat). RNAcentral's name for it is "partial small subunit ribosomal RNA". The record is from RNAcentral. Lineage: Eukaryota; Viridiplantae; Streptophyta; Magnoliopsida; Poales; Poaceae.